GUGAGUGCUCACGAGGAGAGGGGGGACCCACAGAGGGCGGGGGGCACCUACAGAGGCUGGGAGGCACCCACAGAGGCUGGGGGUACCCACAGAGGCCGAGGGCACCCACAGAGGCCGGGGGGCACCCACAGAGGCCGGGGGCACCCACAGAGCAGCAGGACCUCUGCUGGGGACAGGAGGGAGAUGGGCACCAUGGGCUGGGCUGCUGCCAUCGAGACCCCUGCCUCAGCACUGCUCUCUAAAGUAGCUCCCAUGCCAGCAGCUCCUUUGCAGGAGGAGCAGCCAGGAGUGCAAGAGCUUGCUGGGACACCUUCCUACUCCAAGUGCAAAGUCAGUAAGUGGAUCUUCAUGGGAGUCUCAGACCGGCUCCCUCCACUUACCCAUAUCUCAUCUGUGAAGGGAAUAGGGUUGUACCCUGUGGUGCCCAAGGCCUGGCAGAGCCCACGCUGUGCAGGGCACUGUACGGAGAUAAUAAUAAGAGAGGCUCUUCCCUCUGGGGGCUUCCAUUCUCCUGGAGAAAGUCCAGUUAAGGGUCGGCCCCGGACUUGAGAGUGUGUUAGAGGGAGUGAAUGUCCUCCGCCCACCCGGGUCAGCACCUUCUCUCCAACUGAGGGACUUAGAAAGGAGCCGGGGCACUGGCAGGUGCCGUGAUUAGAGAAGCCAAAGGAGCCCGGGUUCCAGCCAAGCUCCAAAGGAAAUUCGGGAUCCUGGAGGGAGAGAUGAGGUGGGAGCAGGCUGGGGGGAGAUGGCGGACAGGGCAAAGUCACAGAGGAAGGAAAGGAGCGUCAUGAGGAAUGCUGGACCGUGGGGAGUGUGGACUGGACACGCAGACCGGAGCCAGGAUGGGAAGGGCCUUGUUUGUACUUGAUCUCACUGGCAAUGGGGAGCCGCUGGAGUCUGUUGAGCUGGGAAGUGACGAGAUUUAUCCUUUAAGAAAGUCAUUCUGGCAGCUGGGAGGGGGAUAAGGAGGGAGCAGAGCCGGAGGUCACGUCAGGAGGCCGUUAGGAGGAGGUUGAGGUUCUGGACCACAGGGUAGUAGAGAGGGGACAGAUGCUGGGGAGACGAGAACUGCAACAUUUGGCAUCUAAUUGGGCCUGGGGGUGAUGAGAGAGAUGGGGGAGUAGAGGAUGAUUCCGAGGUACCAAACUGGGGGCUUUCCCGAGGAAGACCCGCCUGCUCUAGUCGGCCAUUUUCGCCAGCAUGAGCCCCUGUGAGUCUUACCCUGGCGUUCUCCAGGUCUCUGUCCUGAAAACUGAAGGCAGAGCCUGGUGAAAGGCCUGCCAGCCGAGGCAGGUUCCCUGGCACAGGCAGCGGAGGAGGCUCUAGUUAGGAUGUGCCGGGGGCAGCGCAAACCAGCCAGCAAGAGUCGGCAAGCGCCACAAAUCAGGCCUUGAUUUACUAUUCUGUCGAUCUCUAGGCUUAAGAAAGUGAUGAAGAAAUUGUAAACAAUGUGGGUGAUUUUUCAAAAUGGGUUGUGGGCACUUUUUUUCUUUUUCUUUUUUUGGUAGUUAAAUGUUUACCAGGGACAGAGUAACACGAUCAGCCCUACUGCCCUAUGGGAUGCCGUGAAUGAGUGGGAGCCCAGGCGGGCAGUGGGAUGUGCUCUCUCUAGUCAAAGAUCCAGAGCCCCUGGGGCCCAGGCUUAGAGCUUUCAAACCAAGGGACUGCUCUGGCAUCUGUCACAUCGGUAAGGAGGCAAUGGGGUCAGGAAGUCUCUAAAAAGGGGGAAGUCUCUGAAAAUGAACCGGGGGGCCCUGUUCUGGAUGAGGAACGUGAUAAUUAUAAGUGGGCGGCAUCAGCGAGCUCGCUGGAGCGCUUAAUCAGACCUGGGAUCUGACUGAGCUCAUAUUCUGUUUUGAGAACCCCAGAAACCCCCCCCCCCCCCGCCCAUGGCAUAGGGAGGAGAUGGAGGGAGGGAGGGAGACAUAAAUCAGAUGUCUGAUCUAUUUAUCCCUUUAGAUAAGGGAUCUUAUCUAACCCUGCCAAAAAGUUUAACGUUCAGGGGGCAGCCACAUCUAACCAGAACAGUGUGAGCCUUGGAUGGUUAACGGGUCACGGUCCUCCGAGAGUGGGGCCAAAGGCUCGCCCGCUCUUUCAGUUUCAGCAGGUUAGGGGGUCUCUUAGAGCUUCUUUAACUGUCCUUUUAAGGGUCGGUCCACAGACAUUGAGUAAGUUUGCUGGGAAAAUGAGUUAAACCGCCAUGUGGAUGGAAGCUAUUUAAGUAGUGGAGCACUCACCAAUGGAUUGACUCUGGUGGAAAGAAAGGCCCGAGAAGGGGCAAGGUCCAGAGCUCUGAUUCUUACUGCUACUGUUUUAGAAAAGAGAAAAAGAGUCUGAUCUUGUGUAUUUGUUGAUUGUUGUUGUUGUUGUUCGGAUGUUCGGUCAUGUCUGGUCCUUUGGACUCCUGGGACCAAGCCCUUCCAGCCUCCUCUAUCAUAGGAUCCAGUGGUUAAUGGUCUUUCCCCCACAAUCCGAGGGAAGAGGUAGCCUAGGCUAGAAUUACCCUCAUUAUAAAGAUGAAGAAACUGAGGUUCUGAGAGAAGACUUUCCCACAGUCCCAUGGUUAAUCAGGACUGAGGUGAGCUUUUUUGUAUCAGUGAGGAUGUAUUUCUUUCUUCCAAGAUGUUUUGUCCCUCUCUUUAAAGCCCCAGAGCCCUGCACUCAAUGGGCACUUAAUAAAUGCAGGUUGACUCAACUAAAUCUGAAGCAAAUGGGGUUCCUGUUAGACAUACAAAAACAUCCUAGAUUUAGAGGGGGAUAAGGAGGCUCUUUAUCCAACCCCUUCAUUUUUCAGAGCAUGACAUGACAUGUCCCCAGUAGGGCCCAGUAGGGCCAACUUUCAAACCCAGGACCUCAGAACACAUUUAACAUGCCCUCCCUGCAGCCCCUCCUCACUAUGGCAUUGAGGAAUGAGCUCUGUCCAGUCCCACUAAGUCAAAAUCCAGCUGAGGUCCAGUCCAGAUGGAUGGUAGGAGGCUCCUUACUCAUCGUUGGCUUGAAGAGACCACGGUAACUGGGAAGCCCUCGGCUCCAGAAGAGAAUGUGACCUACCUCUCUGAAGGGAGCUCGUUAGUGUUCACAUGGAUGAAAGGUUAGGUGCUUAAAUCCCCAAAGAAUCGAGAACGACAUAAAUGUAUGAAAGUGCACCAUAAUAUCUGCUUUGACUCAGUCAAUGAAUAAACAUUAAUUAGGAUCUUGCCGUGUGCCAGGGACCGUACUAAGGGCUGGAGAUAUAACAAGAGGCAAAAGACAUUCCCUACCCUUAAGAAGCUCAUGGGCUUAUGGGGGGGGGGGGGUGGGACAGCAUGCAAACAAAUAUUCUGCUCUACACAGGAUUUAAGAAGAGAAAACUCUGUUGAUUGUACAGGUACAACCUAGAUGAGAUGGCUUGUGGUCUUGGGAAGGGAAGGAGGGAGAAAAAAAAAUGGGAACUCAAAAAUCUUAAAAAAUGAAUACUUAGAAUUAUCUUUACUUGUAAUUGGAAACCGAAUAUGCUAUUAAAAGAAAAAAAAAGGAAAGCUCUAUGACUCGGGGGUCCACAAACUACGGCCCGCGGGCGAGAUGCGGCAGCUGAGGACGAUUAUCCCCCUCACCCAGGGCUAUGAAGUUUCUUUAUUUAAAGGCCCACAAGACAAAGUUUUUGUUUUUACUAUAGUCCGGCCCUCCAACAGUCUGAGGGACAGUGAACUGGCCCCCUAGUUAAAAAGUUUAGGACCCCUGCUCUAUGUUAAAGAAAACACACCGAAUUAAAUAGGAGAUAAUAAGGAGAAUGCGCUUUUUUUCCCUGGAGAAGUUGGGACUAAAAGGAAGUCAGGGAGGUCAGUAGGCAGAUGGGAGAAGGGAGACAGAAAAGACAGACAGAAAAAAUACCCAGAGCCAAGGGACAAAGGGCCUUGUUUGUAGAACAGCCAGGAGGUCAGUGCCGCCAAAUCCAAGAAUAUGUGUCAGAGAUUAAGGGAUAAGAAGACUGGAAAGAUAGGAUAGGGCUGGAUUAUGAAGGGCUUUGAGAAAAGCCCCGCUAUUGGCCAAUCCACAACUCUCUCUGUGAACAAGAAAGGAACCUUCAAUAAUUCUCAAAUCUGCCUUUCCUGCCCCGUUCUCUCAGCUGAACUCCAAUCUUGCAUCUCACGUUGCCAUUCAGAAUCUGGCACUGGAUGUCCAGCUGACAUUUUGAACUCACCAUGUUCAGGACAGCUCUCCUGAUCCUUCCCUCUAAAACCUCUCUCUCCUACCUUCCCCAUUACUGCAAAAGGCAAAACGGUUCUCCCAGCCCUCAGGCUCCCAAUCUUGAAGUCAUCCUGGACUCUUCACUAUCUCUCACUCCCCAUAUCCAAGCUGCGCCUGGGGUUGGUCAACUUGCUCUUUGCAGCUUCUCUCAAAUCCACCUCCUCUUCUCCCCUGCCUCUACCACCAUCUUGGGUGAAUCUGCAUGACCUCCUGCCUGGACUGGUGCCAUAGCAUCUGGGGCCUGCCUGCCUGGUGUCCCUCCGGCUCCACUCCAGUGUCCCUCCGGCUCCACUCCAGCCUCCUUCCGACCACUAAAGUGCUUUUUACUAAAGCACAAGCCCAACCACGUCACCCUCCUCCUCCAUAAACUCCAGUGGCUCCCAGUUGCCCUCUUUGAUAUUCAAAGCCCUUCACAACCCAACCCCAUCCUACACCUUAUUUCCACAUCCAGUGACUCUAACCUGGUUAUUCCAUAAAUAAGACUCUCCAUCUCUUACCUCUUGGCCCUUUCUCUGCCUUUCCCUCAUGCCUGGAAUGUUUUCCCUCUGCUUCCUGGUUCCUUUAAGCCUUCUGCAGCCCUUCCUUACCCCACCGCCUUCUCUCUGUGAAUUGCUUCCUAUUUAUUCUUGGAUAAUAUAGCUUUGAUUUGUUUGUUUGCUAUACCCCCCACUAGAUGAUAAUUGAGAGUAGGGACUAUCUUUUACUUUUUCUGUAUUUCCAGUGCUUAGCACAGUGUUUGGUGCAUAGUAGGUACCUAAUCAAUGUUUACUGAUUUGAGUGUCCAAAUUGGGGUGAUAGCAUGGUGGGGAGGCUCCCACUUUCCCUAUUUGUCUGGACAAGUCCUGUUUCUGACACAAAGGAUGAGGGUAUGCUGCUUUUCAGGAGUUCCAGGAGAAAGAUUGGUGGAGAGUAAGGGGUCACCUGCCACCUUGGCCUCCCAUGCUCCAUUGAUAUAGAUCUUGUUUCUGGGAGGGGGUCAAACCCAUUGGGGUACAGGGAUUUUUCACUUCGGGGAGGCCGUGGACCCCUUCUCCGAAUCAUUUUUUCAGAUGUGUAAAAUACACGGGGUGACAAAGGAAACCAAUUAUAUUGAAAUGAAGUUCUCAAAAUAUUGGGGGGAGAAAAGCAAAAUUAUGGAUCCCAGGUUUUGGAGCAGUGGGACUGUCCCUGAGACUGCGGAAGGGGAGGCUGCCACAUUGUAGCCCGAUGGGGUAGAAUGACUAUAUUGGAAGCUUUCUACAGACCUGUCAGGGAGUACUUAGUUUAUUUUAAGGUGAUGCCUUUUAAAAGAAAGAAGUAGGAUGAUAUAGGAGAAAAUAUAUUGGAUUGGGAGCUGACACCUGGGUUCUGAUCCUAUUUCUACCUGGAUAAACUUGGAUAAAUCACUUUCCAAUAUCUGGUCCUCAGUUUCCCUUUUUGUAAAAUGAAGCAUUUGAAGUUAGAUUAGAGCCCUUCUUGCUCCGACACAUGAAACAUUCAAUUUUGGGUGACCCAUGACUACAGAAGGACAAGCUAAUGCAGGUGCUAGCUGAGAGACCCUCCUUUUGGUUCCUCCCCUAGCUAUGGACUCAGCCCUGUCUUGCCUCCAGCCUGUUCCAGCCUGUACUCUCUGUUAAUUUGGUUUAUACAAAAACUGCCCACUUCCCUUUCUGCUAUUUUGGCUUCCCAGGGGAACUAACAAAACGGUCCACCUUCUCGCUUUGACGGAUGUCCCUGCAGGUCUCUUUCUGCCUACCCCCACCAGCCUUGGGAUGGGCAUCCUCUGAGCCCCGGGCUCCUGGGGAUAUGUGAUCUCAGAUGCCAGAUCCUCCUCAUCACAAUUUGGACAAAACACCUCCCAUCCCUCUGAGUCCCGGCCCUCUCCUCUACAACCUCCAGGAGAGAGACUAGUUUCCCUGCUUCUGUUUUGGAUAUUUCCUGUUUUGCAUAUGCCUCCCCCUCUAGAGAACUUGUAAAUCCCCAAAUUUGCUAUGUGGGGUACUGCAGAAGUCUUGCUACUUCAUACACCAAGUGCUGCAGCUGUGGGGGUUCUCUCUGCAUGAGUUCUUACUCUGGGCAGUCAAUGCCUUUCCAAAUGAGUGAUUAUUGAGUAACUCAGCCUUCCCUUUAGGGCAAAGGAAAGGAAGGAAGUCCAUGCAAAGGAGCGAGGUGUCUAAAAUAAAUUUUUAUACAGUCAGCCACGGGCUCGGAUGAGUUAAAGACAGGCGUGGGAACUGUGUGCAGAAUGAUGUGAUAGGAGAGGGUGGGGGGCCCAAGGCCGGGUUUCAGUUUGCCAAGGAAUAUGGCUCACUAUGGUCAAAGCACUGAACCAAGCACUGAGGAUGCAAAAAAAGUCAAAAAAGCAGAGCCUGCCCUCAAGAAGC
RNAcentral lists this long non-coding RNA (6590 nucleotides) under Sarcophilus harrisii (Tasmanian devil). RNAcentral describes it as "lncRNA (ENSSHAG00000022968.1)". The record is from RNAcentral. Lineage: Eukaryota; Metazoa; Chordata; Mammalia; Dasyuromorphia; Dasyuridae.